This 277-nucleotide long non-coding RNA is filed under the name Anas platyrhynchos platyrhynchos (common mallard). Its description in RNAcentral is "lncRNA (ENSAPLG00000018648.1)". The record is from RNAcentral. Lineage: Eukaryota; Metazoa; Chordata; Aves; Anseriformes; Anatidae.
AGUGAAUGAUCCUUCUGGUGUGAGUAAGCAAGAUAGAACAAUGAUUUGAAGGUGUUUUUUUUUUUUUUUUUUUUUUUUUUUUUUUUUUUUUUUCCCAAGAGAAGGGUUCUGUACAUAGGAUGGGUUCAAGGCAGAGGCUCGCAGUCAGCAUUUGACAUCUUGAGUCUGGCCUUUCCAUCGCUGUUUCAAGGCACCAAAGGUACCCUUCACGGCAGAAGCUCCCCGGCGCCCUGGAGCCAGCCGCUGGAGCUGAUCUCAGCUAAUCCCCGAGCCAGCU